CCCCCCCUCACCCCGGGGGGAAGGCUGUUGGAUCCGCUGGGGGCCCUGAGCGCCUUUAACAGGAUGGGCGUUUGCGCCCCUCGGCAGGUACUCCAAGUAUAACUGCUAUAAGGGGGAGUCCCUACCCGCCCCCCACCCCCCACCAAAUUUUGUCUGUAAAAAGGAGCACUUGUCCUUGGGAGCACUGGUACAGGAGAACCAUCCCAGUCCUUUGGGAACAAGAAUGAGAAUGGAUCCUGCUGGGGACUGGAGAUAUCAAGCAGGAGAAAAGAAUGAGGAUAAUGCCAUGUUGUGGACAUUAUAGCCAGGAAGGAAACACGGACCUCAGUCCUGCAACUUUGUGGAACUACAUUUUACCAACAACAUGAAUGAGUAUGGAAGGGGAUGCAUCCCAAAGCACCCAGAAAAGAGCGUGGCCCUGGCAGCACCUUGAUUUCACCCCAGUGAAACUUGAAGCUGAGAAACACCUAUGCCUUUUGAGUGUUGAAUGGGAGUAGAGUAUGCCAUCCCAAAAUGUGCCACUUUGACAUGUGGA
Long non-coding RNA from Prionailurus viverrinus (fishing cat), 535 nucleotides. RefSeq lists it as uncharacterized. The transcript has 3 exons. NCBI's taxonomy places the organism in Eukaryota, Metazoa, Chordata, Mammalia, Carnivora, Felidae. The record is from RefSeq and is a predicted model, not a curated record.